GACGAACGCUGGCGGCGCGCUUAACACAUGCAAGUCGAACGGAAAGGCCUGCUUUCCCUUGUGGAUUGCGGGUACUCGAGUGGCGAACGGGUGAGUAACACGUGAGUGAUCUGCCCCCAACUUGGGUAUAAGCCUGGGAAACUGGGUCUAAUUCCCGAUAGGACUGCAGGGUGGUGCCUGUGGUGGAAAACGAUUUUCUAGUGGUUGGGGAUGAGCUCGCGGCCUAUCAGCUUGUUGGUGGGGUAAUGGCCUACCAAGGCGGCGACGGGUAGCCGGCCUGAGAGGGUGGACGGGCACAUUGGGACUGAGAUACGGCCCAGACUCCUACGGGAGGCAGCAGUGGGGAAUAUUGGACAAUGGGCGGAAGCCUGAUGCAGCGACGCCGCGUGGGGGAUGACGGCCUUCGGGUGGUAAACUCCUUUCGACCGCGAGGAAGCCACCUGGUUGGAAGGGUGGUGACGGUAGUGGUAGAAGAAGCACCGGCUAACUACGUG
This 494-nucleotide ribosomal RNA is filed under the name uncultured bacterium. RNAcentral describes it as "partial 16S ribosomal RNA". It matches the Rfam family "Bacterial small subunit ribosomal RNA", at positions 28 to 507 of the family's 1533-position model. The record is from RNAcentral.